CCUUCGGGUCGUAAAGCCCUUUCGUGUGGAAAGAACAGUCCCGCGGUUAAUACCCGCAGGAUCUGACGGUACCACAGGAAGAAGCACCGGCUAACUCCGUGC
Molecule: ribosomal RNA, 102 nt
Filed under: uncultured bacterium
Lineage: Bacteria
Description: partial 16S ribosomal RNA
Source: RNAcentral